RNAcentral lists this long non-coding RNA (755 nucleotides) under Marmota monax (woodchuck). The record is from RNAcentral. Lineage: Eukaryota; Metazoa; Chordata; Mammalia; Rodentia; Sciuridae.
CAGUGCACAAAAGUGCUGCAGCCUCUGGUUUUCAUGCCAUCUUGGCACUAUCCUAAUUUCCUUUCUAGAUCUUCCACUAGGAAGGGUGAAAGUGAGGAUGUCCUCCUGCUGUGGACAGUUUGUUUUUUUCCCCUUGAAAAUCCAGCAAACAUUGCAGCAGUGUGUGUAGUUUGUCCUUAUCUCCAGAGAGAUAAGGUACUGAGAGGAAUGCUUCAUUUGGUACAAGUUCAAGGACAUACAGCAUGCAAGUAGAAAUCCUGAAUCACAGUAAAAACAAAUGCUAGAUUUUGUUUACUUUGUCCACUUGCCUGAAGAUGAGUUUUCAGUUAGACUCCUUCUGUGUGCUAUAGUCUUGGGAGAGUAGAUGAACAAAGAGAUAAGAGUAUAGAGACAUGCCAGGCAGUAAGACAGUACUCAAAAUAUCAGAGACAGUGCACUUUAUAGAAGGCAAAGCAGCUUAAGCAUUCUCACAGCAUGUGCAAUGGAUUAAAAAAUGUGUUGACUCCUGAGCCAUCUUUCAAUUUUCAAUUGAGUGAAAAAGUUUGUUUUUCUUUUCAGUAAAACAGCCCUAGUGUGACAUUUAAAAUUGUUCCUUUGUAACUUCUAUGGGCCAUCCUUGAUUUUAUGCAAUAUGAUCUCCUUGUAGGUAAGUACCUAAUUUUAAAAUAGGAAUUUUCUUUCACCCUGUUGAGAACUGAGCCCUAAUGCCAAUAGUUCCAACAAGUCCUGUCUGACAUUGAAUCUGGCUCUCUGCA